GGACUACUGGGGUUUCUAAUCCUGUUCGCUCCCCUAGCUUUCGCGCCUCAGCGUCAGAUGCCAGCCAGGACACUGCCUUCGCCUUUGGUAUUCCUCCGGAUAUCUACGCAUUUCACCACUCCACCCGGAAUUCUAUGUCCCUCUCUGGCCCUCAAGUCCAGCAGUUUUCAGAGGCCUUCCCCAGUUAAGCCGGGAACUGUCACUCCAAACUUGCUGCACCGCCUGCACGCCCUUUACGCCCAGUAACUCCGGACAACGCUCGCCCCCUACGUAUUACCGCGGCUGCUGGCAC
Molecule: ribosomal RNA, 292 nt
Filed under: uncultured bacterium
Lineage: Bacteria
Description: partial 16S ribosomal RNA
Source: RNAcentral